This is a non-coding RNA of Pelodiscus sinensis (Chinese soft-shelled turtle), 345 nucleotides long. The record is from RefSeq and is a predicted model, not a curated record. Lineage: Eukaryota; Metazoa; Chordata; Testudines; Trionychidae.
GCUUCUGGAUGCAGUGAGGAGCAGCUGGAGGGGGCCUGUCAAUCCCCAGGGACAUGCUGCCACGUGCCGCUGGAGACGCUCACCCUGGCUCACGGCCUCCGGCUCGUGGAGGAGAGGAUCCAGGACGUGGCCAGGCACCUGGAGGAAGUGCUGAUACCGCCCAGCGUGAGCACGCUCGCCGGGAGCUCGCUCUCCUCUUCCUCCUGGGACUCCAGCUCCUCCGUCCCCUGCGGGUCCAGCUGCGUUGCCCUGCGCGAAGCCUCCCAGCGCUGGUCGCUGUCCCUCUGCCGCGCGGGGGAGACCGUGUCUGUCGUGGGCUGGGAAGGCCCCUCGCGUCCCACCCCA